This 467-nucleotide long non-coding RNA is filed under the name Elaeis guineensis (African oil palm). Its description in RNAcentral is "long non-coding RNA (EGUI_LNC001370)". Lineage: Eukaryota; Viridiplantae; Streptophyta; Magnoliopsida; Arecales; Arecaceae. The record is from RNAcentral.
CCUCGCAAUUUGAAUUUGACUAUAUUUUUCUGCUUGAAAUUUUUCCAGCAGAUUGCUCCAUUAUUUAGGAUAAGAAUGUAUUCUGACACGUUCUUGCUAUUAUUAUGUCCAACUGAAAACUGAAAUCAUACUCCACAAGUUUUAAGUCAGAUUCUCCACAAUCGAGUCACCGAUCCUUAGUAUUUUUUAAAUACUUAAGGAUGACAUUCCAGUGAUUCUCAUCCAGAUCUUGCAAGUAUCAACUCACUAUCAUAGUGAGUAUACCAUAUCUGAUCUCAUAUAUGGUAUACAUGAUAGAAUAAAUUCUACUCAUAAACAUCCUAUGUAUGUUGGAUUGAGAAAAUCCGAGCAGCCUCUUAGAUCUAUCUCUAUAGAUCUUCAUCCCUAAGAUGAAGGAUGCUUUUUCCAAGUCCUUUAUCGAGAACAAUAAUACUAGCAAAAUCUUUAUUCCCUGUAAUAUAAAAAAU